RNAcentral lists this ribosomal RNA (440 nucleotides) under uncultured bacterium. RNAcentral describes it as "partial 16S ribosomal RNA". It matches the Rfam family "Bacterial small subunit ribosomal RNA", at positions 338 to 795 of the family's 1533-position model. The record is from RNAcentral.
CCUACGGGUGGCAGCAGUGGGGAAUAUUGCACAAUGGGGGAAACUCUGAUGCAGCGACGUCGCGUGAGUGAAGAAGUAUCUCGGUAUGUAAAACUUCAUCUGCAGGGAAGAGAAUGACGGUACCUGAGUAAGAAGCCCCGGCUAACUACGUGCAAGCAGCCGCGGUAAUAUGGAGGGGGCAAGCGUUAUCCGGAUGUACUGGGCGUAAAGGGAGCGUAGUGGGCGUAGAAAGUCUGAAGUGAAAGCGUGCGGCUCAACCGCGGAAGUGCUGUGGAAACUUUUUUGCUGGAGUACAGGAGAGGUAAGCGGAAUUCGUGGUGUAGCGGUGAAAUGCGUAGAUAUUAGGAAGAACACCAGUGGCGAAGGCAGCUUACUGGACGGUAACUGACGUUGAGGCUCGAAAGCGUGGGGAGCAAACAGGAUUAGAUACCCUGGUAGUC